RNAcentral lists this long non-coding RNA (595 nucleotides) under Marmota monax (woodchuck). The record is from RNAcentral. Lineage: Eukaryota; Metazoa; Chordata; Mammalia; Rodentia; Sciuridae.
GCUGCUUCAUUAAGAGAUUCAAACGGUGCUUAAAGCAAGAUCAUUUAUUUCUUUUCACAUGAUGAUCCAAGAACAGUCCAGAGUUGAUGUUGCUGCUCAGUGGAGUCAGGCCCAGACUCCUGAUAGCAUUUGUUCUGCCAAUCUGAGGGCAAUGCCCUUGUCUGAAUGGUGGAGUGUAUUUGCCUUCCAGCUCAUGGGAAAAAGGAAAGAGUGAAGAAAACAUCCUUCUUUCCUCUUCUUUUUAUUUUAGACAGUGUUAAGUUGCCCAGGGUAUCCUCAAACUUGGUAUCCUUCAGCCUCAAUUUUCCAAGUAACUGAGGUCAUAGGCUUUUACUACCAUGUUGGCCUCAUCCCUUCAAGAGUAUGGUCCAGAAGUUGCAUACUUCACUUCUGCUCACAUCCCAUUGGCAAGAACCUCGUCAUACUCUGAGUGCCUUUGAUAGGUUUCACACACUCAGCUAAAUCUCCUCCCAGUAAAGCAGAAAAGACUUUUGGGGUGGGGGCGGAUAAUGCCAAGGUUGCCUAGGCCUUGGCUUGUCUCCUAAACAGCCACUAAAACCUUACUAUUGGUGGCCACCAGUCUAGGUACGCUGCC